AGCUAGGAAGCUAACAGGUAAUUCGUAUUAAUAUUCCAUUUAGUUCUGGAGCAAGGCUCUAUUCUUAUGUAAAAUUAUUAUUUGUUUUUGAUGUAAAAAUGCUUCCACUAA
Tribolium castaneum (red flour beetle) is the source of this 111-nucleotide non-coding RNA. NCBI's taxonomy places the organism in Eukaryota, Metazoa, Arthropoda, Insecta, Coleoptera, Tenebrionidae. The record is from RefSeq and is marked provisional.